Molecule: ribosomal RNA, 500 nt
Filed under: uncultured bacterium
Lineage: Bacteria
Description: partial 16S ribosomal RNA
Rfam family: Bacterial small subunit ribosomal RNA
Source: RNAcentral
AUUGAACGCUGGCGGCAUGCCUUACACAUGCAAGUCGAACGGCAGCACGGGAGCAAUCCUGGUGGCGAGUGGCGAACGGGUGAGUAAUGUAUCGGAACGUGCCCAGUCGUGGGGGAUCACGUAGCGAAAGCUACGCUAAUACCGCAUACGAUCUGUGGAUGAAAGCGGGGGACCGUAAGGCCUCGCGCGAUUGGAGCGGCCGAUAUCAGAUUAGGUAGUUGGUGGGGUAAAGGCCUACCAAGCCGACGAUCUGUAGCUGGUCUGAGAGGACGACCAGCCACACUGGGACUGAGACACGGCCCAGACUCCUACGGGAGGCAGCAGUGGGGAAUUUUGGACAAUGGGCGCAAGCCUGAUCCAGCAAUGCCGCGUGCAGGAUGAAGGCCUUCGGGUUGUAAACUGCUUUUGUACGGAGCGAAAAGGCUCUCUCUAAUACAGGGGGCUCAUGACGGUACCGUAAGAAUAAGCACCGGCUAACUACGUGCCAGCAGCCGCCGCCG